This is a long non-coding RNA of Cimex lectularius (bed bug), 361 nucleotides long. RefSeq lists it as uncharacterized. Lineage: Eukaryota; Metazoa; Arthropoda; Insecta; Hemiptera; Cimicidae. The record is from RefSeq and is a predicted model, not a curated record. The transcript is spliced from 2 exons.
CUUGUCUCCAGUCCGCUGACAGUUUCAUCUUUGUUAGUGCUCCAAUCAGUGAAAAGCGAGCCCAACAUGUACUUUUUGCUCAAGUUGGUCGUUUUGUUGGUUCUUGCCGCCGUCGCACUUGGGGGCGAGUACAGUCAUCAUUACGGCGGAGGCAGCGGAGGAGGCGGUGGCGGUGGCGGAGGGCAUGGACAUGCAACAUCUCACCAAAACUAUGUUCUUCAUAGUUAUGACCCAGUUCCGGUGUACUACAAGAAACAUGGCCACUAUUAGACACCAUUUCCUCAUAUUUCGCUCACAAAUCAACGUUUCCGAUGUCAUAAACCCAUUGUAAUUAUUAAACAGUAUUGUAACAUUUUGCAAA